UUAUUAAUUUGAUAAAGUGCUGAUAGAUUUAUAUUGAUUACAGUGCGUUAAUUUUCGGAAUUAUAUAAUGGCAUAAUUAUCAUUGAUUUUUGUGUUUAUUAUAUGCACUUGUAUGAUUAACAAUGCGAAAGAUUCAGGAUACCUUCGGGACCCGUCUUGAAACACGGACCAAGGAGUCUAACAUAUGUGCAAGUUAUUGGGAUAUAAACCUAAUAGCGUAAUUAACUUGACUAAUAAUGGGAUUAGUUUUUUAGCUAUUUAUAGCUAAUUAACACAAUCCCGGGGCGUUCUAUAUAGUUAUGUAUAAUGUAUAUUUAUAUUAUUUAUGCCUCUAACUGGAACGUACCUUGAGCAUAUAUGCUGUGACCCGAAAGAUGGUGAACUAUACUUGAUCAGGUUGAAGUCAGGGAAACCCUGAUGGAAGACCGAAACAGUUCUGACGUGCAAAUCGAUUGUCAGAAUUGAGUAUAGGGGCGAAAGACCAAUCGAACCAUCUAGUAGCUGGUUCCUUCCGAAGUUUCCCUCAGGAUAGCUGGUGCAUUUUAAUAUUAUAUAAAAUAAUCUUAUCUGGUAAAGCGAAUGAUUAGAGGCCUUAGGGUCGAAACGAUCUUAACCUAUUCUCAAACUUUAAAUGGGUAAGAACCUUAACUUUCUUGAUAUGAAGUUCAAGGUUAUGAUAUAAUGUGCCCAGUGGGCCACUUUUGGUAAGCAGAACUGGCGCUGUGGGAUGAACCAAACGUAAUGUUACGGUGCCCAAAUUAACAACUCAUGCAGAUACCAUGAAAGGCGUUGGUUGCUUAAAACAGCAGGACGGUGAUCAUGGAAGUCGAAAUCCGCUAAGGAGUGUGUAACAACUCACCUGCCGAAGCAACUAGCCCUUAAAAUGGAUGGCGCUUAAGUUGUAUACCUAUACAUUACCGCUAAAGUAGAUGAUUUAUAUUACUUGUGAUAUAAAUUUUGAAACUUUAGUGAGUAGGAAGGUACAAUGGUAUGCGUAGAAGUGUUUGGCGUAAGCCUGCAUGGAGCUGCCAUUGGUACAGAUCUUGGUGGUAGUAGCAAAUAAUCGAAUGAGACCUUGGAGGACUGAAGUGGAGAAGGGUUUCGUGUGAACAGUGGUUGAUCACGAGUUAGUCGGUCCUAAGUUCAAGGCGAAAGCCGAAAAUUUUCAAGUAAAACAAAAAUGCCUAACUAUAUAAACAAAGCGAAUUAUAAUACACUUGAAUAAUUUUGAACGAAAGGGAAUACGGUUCCAAUUCCGUAACCUGUUGAGUAUCCGUUUGUUAUUAAAUAUGGGCCUCGUGCUCAUCCUGGCAACAGGAACGACCAUAAAGAAGCCGUCGAGAGAUAUCGGAAGAGUUUUCUUUUCUGUUUUAUAGCCGUACUACCAUGGAAGUCUUUCGCAGAGAGAUAUGGUAGAUGGGCUAGAAGAGCAUGACAUAUACUGUUGUGUCGAUAUUUUCUCCUCGGACCUUGAAAAUUUAUGGUGGGGACACGCAAACUUCUCAACAGGCCGUACCAAUAUCCGCAGCUGGUCUCCAAGGUGAAGAGUCUCUAGUCGAUAGAAUAAUGUAGGUAAGGGAAGUCGGCAAAUUAGAUCCGUAACUUCGGGAUAAGGAUUGGCUCUGAAGAUUGAGAUAGUCGGGCUUGAUUGGGAAACAAUAACAUGGUUUAUGUGCUCGUUCUGGGUAAAUAGAGUUUCUAGCAUUUAUGUUAGUUACUUGUUCCCCGGAUAGUUUAGUUACGUAGCCAAUUGUGGAACUUUCUUGCUAAAAUUUUUAAGAAUACUAUUUGGGUUAAACCAAUUAGUUCUUAUUAAUUAUAACGAUUAUCAAUUAACAAUCAAUUCAGAACUGGCACGGACUUGGGGAAUCCGACUGUCUAAUUAAAACAAAGCAUUGUGAUGGCCCUAGCGGGUGUUGACACAAUGUGAUUUCUGCCCAGUGCUCUGAAUGUCAAAGUGAAGAAAUUCAAGUAAGCGCGGGUCAACGGCGGGAGUAACUAUGACUCUCUUAAGGUAGCCAAAUGCCUCGUCAUCUAAUUAGUGACGCGCAUGAAUGGAUUAACGAGAUUCCUACUGUCCCUAUCUACUAUCUAGCGAAACCACAGCCAAGGGAACGGGCUUGGAAUAAUUAGCGGGGAAAGAAGACCCUUUUGAGCUUGACUCUAAUCUGGCAGUGUAAGGAGACAUAAGAGGUGUAGAAUAAGUGGGAGAUAUUAGACCUCGGUUUGGUAUCGUCAAUGAAAUACCACUACUCUUAUUGUUUCCUUACUUACUUGAUUAAAUGGAACGUGUAUCAUUUCCUAGCCAUUAUACGGAUAUAUUUAUUAUAUCUUAUGGUAUUGGGUUUUGAUGCAAGCUUCUUGAUCAAAGUAUCACGAGUUUGUUAUAUAAUCGCAAACAAAUUCUUUAAUAAAACGAUGCAUUUAUGUAUUUUUGAUUUGAAAAUUUGGUAUAACUCCAAUUACUCAGGUAUGAUCCAAUUCAAGGACAUUGCCAGGUAGGGAGUUUGACUGGGGCGGUACAUCUCUCAAAUAAUAACGGAGGUGUCCCAAGGCCAGCUCAGUGCGGACAGAAACCACACAUAGAGCAAAAGGGCAAAUGCUGACUUGAUCUCGGUGUUCAGUACACACAGGGACAGCAAAAGCUCGGCCUAUCGAUCCUUUUGGUUUAAAGAGUUUUUAACAAGAGGUGUCAGAAAAGUUACCAUAGGGAUAACUGGCUUGUGGCGGCCAAGCGUUCAUAGCGACGUCGCUUUUUGAUCCUUCGAUGUCGGCUCUUCCUAUCAUUGUGAAGCAAAAUUCACCAAGCGUUGGAUUGUUCACCCAUGCAAGGGAACGUGAGCUGGGUUUAGACCGUCGUGAGACAGGUUAGUUUUACCCUACUAAUGACAAAACGUUGUUGCGACAGCAUUCCUGCGUAGUACGAGAGGAACCGCAGGUACGGACCAAUGGCACAAUACUUGUUCGAGCGAACAGUGGUAUGACGCUACGUCCGUUGGAUUAUGCCUGAACGCCUCUAAGGUCGUAUCCGUGCUGGACUGCAAUGAUAAAUAAGGGGCAAUUUGCAUUGU
RNAcentral lists this ribosomal RNA (3071 nucleotides) under Drosophila melanogaster (fruit fly). RNAcentral's name for it is "eukaryotic LSU rRNA". It matches the Rfam family "Eukaryotic large subunit ribosomal RNA", at positions 499 to 3185 of the family's 3401-position model. The record is from RNAcentral. Lineage: Eukaryota; Metazoa; Arthropoda; Insecta; Diptera; Drosophilidae.